RNAcentral lists this small RNA (299 nucleotides) under Vigna angularis var. angularis. RNAcentral's name for it is "Non-protein coding transcript". Lineage: Eukaryota; Viridiplantae; Streptophyta; Magnoliopsida; Fabales; Fabaceae. The record is from RNAcentral.
GGGAAGUAUCAUUAUCUACACAUUCUCAAGUGGGUUCUAUAAUGGCACCUCAACUCUUGCUGGUAUUAUUGGCACCGUGAAGGCUCAGGGAAUGGAGGGCUUUGUUUUAGUUGCAAACCCAAGCUAUGGUGAUUAUAUUGCAGAGCCAAUGCCUUUGAUCCCUCGUGUGGAGGAUGCCAAGGCUAUAUUACAUUACUAUGAAGAAAAAACAAAGAGGAACAAGAAAGGAAAUGCCAAAGAGUUUGGUGCUUUGGCAGCUGUGGGAGAAGGAAGACUUGCCUCUUUCACAGGAAGAUCAC